UACGUAGGGGGCUAGCGUUGUCCGGAAUCAUUGGGCGUAAAGAGCGUGUAGGCGGCCCGGUAAGUCCGCUGUAAAAGUCAAAGGCUCAACCUUUGAAUGUCAGUGGAUACUGCCGGGCUAGAGUCCGGAAGAGGCGAGUGGAACUCCUGGUGUAGCGGUGGAAUGCGCAGAUAUCAGGAGGAACACCGGUGGCGAAGGCGGAUCUCUGGGCCGAUACUGACGCUGAGGAGCGAAAGCGUGGGGAGCAAACAGG
Molecule: ribosomal RNA, 253 nt
Filed under: uncultured bacterium
Lineage: Bacteria
Description: partial 16S ribosomal RNA
Rfam family: Bacterial small subunit ribosomal RNA
Source: RNAcentral